This 221-nucleotide long non-coding RNA is filed under the name Elaeis guineensis (African oil palm). RNAcentral's name for it is "long non-coding RNA (EGUI_LNC012700)". Lineage: Eukaryota; Viridiplantae; Streptophyta; Magnoliopsida; Arecales; Arecaceae. The record is from RNAcentral.
UUACUUUUAUCAUGAGAGGAUGCACGAGAGAGAACAAUAGUUUUAUCUUGCACAAGUUCCCAAAUAUAAUCACGAUCCAUUUUUAUAUGUUUUGCACAUUCAUGGGGCAUAGGAUUGGUAGCAAUUCGAGUGGCACCGCACAAAGAUGUGUUGGUUAUGGAUAUGACAUAUCGGUCCAUAAGAAGUCGAUGAAGCCAAAUAACUGUUGUGCUGAUAGAUUA